Molecule: ribosomal RNA, 253 nt
Filed under: uncultured bacterium
Lineage: Bacteria
Description: partial 16S ribosomal RNA
Rfam family: Bacterial small subunit ribosomal RNA
Source: RNAcentral
UACGUAGGUGGCAAGCGUUGUCCGGAUUUACUGGGCGUAAAGAGCGCGCAGGCGGUCGUUCAAGUCGCGUGUGAAAGCCCCCGGCUCAACUGGGGAGGGUCACGCGAUACUGAUCGACUCGAAGGCAGGAGAGGGUAGUGGAAUUCCCGGUGUAGUGGUGAAAUGCGUAGAGAUCCGGAGGAACACCAGUGGCGAAGGCGACACGCUGGGCCGUACCUGACACUGAUACGCGACAGCAUGGGGAGCGAACAGG